GGUUACUCACAGUGGGUGAAAUAUAAUUCCCCUACUGUACCUUUCUAGGUUCAACCUAAAAUGAGUCUUGCAAAAGGUGGGCUGUCAUGGCUCUUGGGAGAUAUUUCCAUUCUAUAACACACUAAUGUCAGAUGCUUUUUAAAGCAUUCUGUCUAAAUUACAAUCCUUGCCAGUUCUAGUUGCUGUCCUCUGGGCCCCUGAAGUCUGAAUGGGUUCCCUAUCUUUUCUUACUUCUGAUCAAGAUAGGCUCCUGUUACCUCUGCUGAUAAUCACCAUGCUUUAAGGCAUGGCGUUUUAGCAGUCUGUUGAAAAAAUAUGGGUUUAUAUUUUUAAAAUUUGUUUUUUUAUUCUAUGGGAUUUUUAAAAAGUAUGUUUUGCUUGCAUGCAUGUCUGUGCAUCACAUGAUUGCUUUAUUUGUGUAGGCCAGAAGAGGUUGGAACUGAAGUUAAAGAUGGUUGUUAGCUACCAUUUGGGUGCUGGGAACUGAACCCUGGUCCUUUGGAAGAGCAGCGAGUGCUCUUAAACUCUGGGUCAUCUCUCCAACCUCCAAAUACAGAAUUAAAUCAGUUUAAAUUAUAUAUCUUUGGAUCACAGUGUCCGACAUAUUAUUUUAUUUCCUGUCAUCAUGAUAAAUGAACCACAACCAAAGCAACUUGGGAAGGAAAGGGUUAAUUUCUGAUGACCACAUCAGACAAGGGAAGUCAGGAGUUUAAUCCUGAACUCAAAACAGAGCCAUGGAGAAGAAGGCUGUUCCUAGCAGCUGGGUUAGCUGGGUGGUACUCAGCCAGUUUUAUUAUACAACUCAUACCUGAAUGCCUAGGUAAGGUGUCACCACAGUAGGCUUGAACUUCCACAUCAAUCAUCAGUCAAAACAGUAUCUCAGAGCCAGAGCCAGAGCCAGAGCCAGAGCCAGAGCCAGAGCCAGAGCCAGAGCCAGAGCCAGAGCCACAGCCACAGCCACAGCCACAGCCACAGCCACAGCCACAGUCCUGUCUGAUAUGGGCAAUCCUGCAAUCAAGCCCCCUUCUUCCCACGUGACUCUAGGCUCUUUCAGGUUUAGAAAAAAUUCCAUCAAACAGACGAUGGUGGAAAUUUCUCUCUUUUUUGGAAUUCUUGAAAGGACUAAAAUGAGGGCUUUUGUUUUGGUCUGUAAGAGGGCUUCAGUGGAACGGGCUUCAGUGGCACUCGCAUGCCAUCUGUCCUCAGGUCACACUGAGUGAUGGGUAAAGUAGCUGGCUCUCCUGGUUCAACCACCUGCAUGAGAGAAGCCUGGAGCUCAUCCGCCCCGGGAAAGCAUGAUUGACCAUCUUCCUGGAAUUGGGUACCAGAAUGUUGUUACGUGCUGCUUAAAGCUAGCUCUAAAAUUGCACACCAGGGUGCCGCCUCACCUAGAGCAGCAUUUCUUCUUGUAUUUUAGAUUUACUCUGUGUGUGUGUGUGUGUAUACCUGUGGAAGUACUCAUGUGUGUGAGUGUGCAUGGAAGCCAGAAGAUAACCUUAAGUGUUAUUCCUCAGCAUUGUGGCAUUGUCUACCAUUUUUUAUUUGUUUCCUUUUUGGAGACAGGGUCUCUUUCACCAGCCUGUACCUCCCCAUGUAUCAUGUAGGCUAGGCUGGCUGGCUAGUGGGCCUCACAUGCCAAGAUCACAAGUAUACACUCCCUACCCGGUUUUUGUUUUCAAGGUGUGUUCAGGGGAUCUAGCAGAGUGGCCCAUGCUUGUGAGGUGAGCUUUGCUGGCUGAGCCAUCUCCAGAGCCCAGGCUUCUUUUCUUCAUCAUUUUAUUUUAUUUAUUUAUUUAUUUAUUUUUUAUAAUAUCUGGGCCUACCUUCAUGGUAACUAGCACAAGGCUUAAGCUUCAGGUGACCCAUCUCUAGAGCUGGUUUCCAACUAGCUAGCCGGUGUCUGGGCUCAGGAGACAGCCUUCCAUAGGAGCAGUGACAGUGCUCAGAUGUCUUCCUUUCAGAUGGAGGCCUUGGAAGUGUGCAUCUGUGGACCCGGAGACCAGAGCAUGAAGCUCGGUUGCCAAGGACAAUUUCUGAUAGUCAACACACAUCUUUGCAUUGAUAGAAAUGUGUAUUAUUGAUCCGACUUCUAUCAUGGUCCUUUCUGCAUCACUACACAAAUAUUCAACCAUGUUUAUGUUCUAAAAAUACACAGAGAGGGCAGACAUUUUCAGUGAUGUCGACUUCUGCCUUGUGUUUUGUAGCACAUACAAAGUGAAGUGCCUGAGAUUCCAGGCUGGUAAAACACCUCUGCUCAGCUAUUCAACUCUGAGGGGCUUGCUUGCUCCUGGCUAUUUUGCAUAAACUCUUCCAGAUUUCCAUUCAGAGAUUUGUUCCCUGAAGUCAAAUUCACAAUGGACUCAUCUGUUUGCAUCU
RNAcentral lists this long non-coding RNA (2376 nucleotides) under Mus musculus (house mouse). Its description in RNAcentral is "long non-coding RNA chr16:96509580-96511956". The record is from RNAcentral. Lineage: Eukaryota; Metazoa; Chordata; Mammalia; Rodentia; Muridae.